Molecule: ribosomal RNA, 253 nt
Filed under: uncultured bacterium
Lineage: Bacteria
Description: partial 16S ribosomal RNA
Rfam family: Bacterial small subunit ribosomal RNA
Source: RNAcentral
UACGUAGGUGACCAGCGUUGUCCGGAUUUACUGGGCGUAAAGAGCGCGCAGGCGGUCGUUCAAGUCGAGUGUGAAAGCCCCCGGCUCAACUGGGGAGGGUCAUUCGAUACUGAUCGACUCGAAGGCAGGAGAGGGAAGUGGAAUUCCCGGUGUAGUGGUGAAAUGCGUAGAUAUCGGGAGGAACACCAGUGGCGAAGGCGACAUCCUGGACCGGUAUUGACGCUGAGGCGCGAAAGCCAGGGGAGCAAACGGG